Long non-coding RNA from Sitodiplosis mosellana (orange wheat blossom midge), 712 nucleotides. RefSeq lists it as uncharacterized. The record is from RefSeq and is a predicted model, not a curated record. Lineage: Eukaryota; Metazoa; Arthropoda; Insecta; Diptera; Cecidomyiidae. The transcript is spliced from 6 exons.
UUAUCCACAUUCGGUUCAGAUAUCAGCAGGUGAAUGCAUGGAGAAAAAUGUGCUAAUGUGCACAGAUGACUUUCGUCGCUGUAUGAAUGUAUGUAGGACAAACAAGGUUCGUACUGAGCAUGCUUUUGGCAAGUGACAAUCGACUGUCAUUCCCGCAUUUUGAGGGAAAUUUUUGUUGACCUCUGAUCUGGAAAAUAUGCUAAAUCUCAAUUCCAAUUUUGUUGACCAUUGCAAAGUGAAGUUUCAAAUCUAUUGAUAUAAAUGAAAUUAUUUUUGCGCAUUGGCAUGGUAAGACGUUCAGCUUUUGAAAAUCUGUGAAUUUGGUUUCAUUUGGUGUCUAAUUCGAGCCAUUGCAAAUACAAUGAAUAACUCUGUGUUGGCCGAUGUACAAGCACUCAAGGCUCAAAUGAGUAAAAUAGAGCAUAUCUUGGAUCAUAUUUCGCUGAAAAUGAACUCAGUUCAGCCUACAUCAACAGCUACGGCUGAUGUUCGAGCUCUGAAAGUGCAAAUGGACCGAAUGGAGAGUAUGGUGGAUAACAUGAAGGAGCCAACAAAACGGAAUUCAGAUAGUUCGUGACAUUACAAGUAAAUCGUUAUAAAAAUUCAACUUUCCGGCAAUCUCACCACUUGAUUGAUAUUAAUUUAAUCCCACUGCCAAUUGGAAUUCAAUUCAUAAAUAAUAUUUAACUAUAUACGAAAUAGUCGAUUCUGC